AUUGAACGCUGGCGGAAUGCUUUACACAUGCAAGUCGAACGGUAGAGGGGCAACCCUUGAGAGUGGCGAACGGGUGAGUAAUGUAUCGGAACAUGCCCAGUCGUGGGGGAUAACGUAGCGAAAGUUACGCUAAUACCGCAUACGAUCUAUGGAUGAAGGCGGGGGAUCGCAAGACCUCGCGCGAUUGGAGUGGCCGAUAUCAGAUUAGGUAGUUGGUGGGGUAAAGGCCUACCAAGCCGACGAUCUGCAGCUGGUCUGAGAGGACGACCAGCCACACUGGGACUGAGACACGGCCCAGACUCCUACGGGAGGCAGCAGUGGGGAAUUUUGGACAAUGGGCGCAAGCCUGAUCCAGCCAUUCCGCGUGCGGGAAGAAGGCCUUCGGGUUGUAAACUGCUUUUGUACGGAACGAAACGCGCUGAGCUAAUACCUCGGCGUAAUGACGGUACCGUAAGAAUAAGCACCGGCUAACUACGUGCCCGCCGCCGUAACAC
RNAcentral lists this ribosomal RNA (494 nucleotides) under uncultured bacterium. RNAcentral's name for it is "partial 16S ribosomal RNA". It matches the Rfam family "Bacterial small subunit ribosomal RNA", at positions 30 to 526 of the family's 1533-position model. The record is from RNAcentral.